AGCAUUACAGGAGUGGCAGGGAAGGAUGUGGGUGGCCUGGAAGCUGUGAUGAGUCGAGUGAGGCAGUCGGGUGGGCGCCAAUCUGUGGUGAGAGUGGAGUGAGGGGACGUUUGUGACUCCGCUCCUGCAUUUCCACGUAACUUCCCGGAUUUUACCAAUAAAGUGCCAAUGCAAAGGCCUGGCUUGGGAGGAAUCUUGAGCCUCCUGUAAGAUUAAGGUCAAGAGCCAUGACAUAUGUAAACAAGUUGUACAGUGACAGUGACAGCAAUAUGCAACUAGAGCAUUGCAUUUUGUGUGCACUGCCGAGAGGAAUGCAUUGACUGAGGUGACAGGCUAUCCAUCAGAAUCCUUCCUGAUGACCCCUUUGGCCAAUCCCACCAUCCUUGCCAAGCAUCACUACAACAGCUGUCAUUUCAGAACAAGGGCUGUAAUCAAACAAAUUUUUGGCUAACUUGAGUCACAGUUUAGAUACCUUCACAAGUCAGGUGGUCAUUUACAGUAUGAACCAAAAUAAAUGUGUAAGAAUAAUUGCUGCUUGCAUGUUGAUGCACAAUUGGUGCAUCAAUCAUAGGAUUCCACUGGAAGAUUGGAAGAGGAAGACGUGAUAGAAUUAAGAAUUAAUGGAAAUAAACAAAAUGAUGGAAAUGCAGCUCAGGAUUCACUUAUUCAGAAUUGGUUUUCUUAAACUUUGAGGAAUGUGUAUUGCCAUGUUGCUUUUCUUUCAAUUUUUUAUCAGAAUUUUCAUGAUUAUUAUUCUUCUGAACUUCCUAACUGCAUGCCUCUCCCCUCCUGUGGCUUUGCUGCUAGAGACUUUCUACUUACUCUCAUCCUUACUAUGUCCACCUUUUUAAUGCAAGAGUUAAUCAAUAUCUUCACUCUUACAUCCCUUUCACUGGUAAACGCUGGAGCUUUUUCUGCUUCUAUAUUUCCUUUUGCCUUUGACAGUUUCAAAAGAGGCGCAACAAAACACUUAGAUUUGCUUUUUUAAGUGACGUAUUAGUAAUUACGAAGUAGCAAGCCCCACAGUCGUAUUUGGUUUUAUUAACCCCACAGUUGCAUUCGUUAAACACUGGAUGCAAGCCCCAACAUUGGGUUGGUAAAUACUAAGCUCACCAUCACUGGUUGGCAGCUCUUGUUCCCUCAGUGACAAGGAAAAGUUACUGAAUUUUGUUAUUUCUCAUUUAGUAGAUUGAGUUAUGCAUUUUCUUCCAGCUAUAGCUAAAGAAAGAGGUGAUCUAUCCAUAUAUAUGCCCUCAGAAUUAUCAUACAACAUAUAAUAGUGAAGAAAUUUGUGAUUGUAUGGUGGUGUUUGGAGCGAUCAGAGGCAGAGGUUGGACAUAAUUUGGCUUGUAAUAUAGUUAAUAGUGAGCAUUUCUCACUGAACAUAUAUGUGGAGAUGUGAGUUAUUUCUUUGUGUACAGAACUAAAAGAAACAUGAAAUCCACCUACAGUAGUUUGAAUAUUGAAAGUGCAUGCACCUAUGCUGAGGCCAGUGAAAUUGCUGUCCAGGAGAUGAGUCGAAUGUUUUCUCAUGCUUGAUAAAUGGGAGUUAUAACAGUA
Molecule: long non-coding RNA, 1560 nt
Organism: Scylla paramamosain (green mud crab)
Lineage: Eukaryota; Metazoa; Arthropoda; Malacostraca; Decapoda; Portunidae
Exons: 3
Source: RefSeq, a predicted model, not a curated record